CAGUCGCCACGGGAAUACGUAGGGUGCGAGCGUUAAUCGGAAUUACUGGGCGUAAAGCGUGCGCAGGCGGUUCGUUAAGACAGAUGUGAAAUCCCCGGGCUUAACCUGGGAACUGCAUUUGUGACUGGCGAGCUAGAGUAUGGCAGAGGGGGGUAGAAUUCCACGUGUAGCAGUGAAAUGCGUAGAGAUGUGGAGGAAUACCGAUGGCGAAGGCAGCCCCCUGGGCCAAUACUGACGCUCAUGCACGAAAGCGUGGGGAGUAAACAGGAUUAGAUACCCGGGUAGUCCCUGUCUCUUAUAC
This 301-nucleotide ribosomal RNA is filed under the name uncultured bacterium. RNAcentral describes it as "partial 16S ribosomal RNA". It matches the Rfam family "Bacterial small subunit ribosomal RNA", at positions 509 to 807 of the family's 1533-position model. The record is from RNAcentral.